GCCCCUAUGUUCUAUUUUUAGCCGUGGCGGCCAUCUUGGUUGGUUGACCGGGUCACGCCACACAUUUUUUAAACUAGAUACCCCAAAGAUGAUUGUGGCCAUGUUUGGAUUAAUUUGGCUCAGUAGUUUCAGAGGAGAAGAUUUUUGUAGAAGAUUACUUAGAUUUAUGAAAAAUGGUUAAAAAUUGACUAUAAAGGGCAAUAACUCCUAAAGGGGUCAACUGACCAUUUCGGUCAUGUUGACUUAUUUGUAAAUCUAACUUUGCUGAACAUUAUUACUGUUUACAGUUUAUCUCUAUCUAUAAUAAUAUUCAAGAUAAUAACCAAAAACAGCAAAAUUUCCUCAAAAUUACCAAUUCAGGGGCAGCAACCCAACAACAGGUUAACCGAUUCAUCUGAAAAUUUCAGGGCAAAUAGAUCUUGACCUGAUAAACAUUUUUACCCCGUCAGAUUUCCUCUAAAUGCUUUGGUUUUUGAGUUAUAAGCCAAAAACUGCAUUUUACCCCUAUGUUCUAUUUUUAGCCGUGGCGGCCAUCUUGGUUGGAUGACCGGGUCACGCCACACAUUUUUUAAACUAGAUACUCCAAUGAUGAUUGUGGCCAAGUUUGGUUUGAUUUGGCCCAGUAGUUUCAGAGGAGAAGAUUUUUGUAAAAGCUAACGCCGGACGACGACGGACGCCGGACGCCAAGUGAUGAGAAAAGCUCACUUGGCCCUUUGGGCCAGGUGAGCUAAAAAAUUAAUAUGUCACUCAGCAUUAUGACAUAGCUCUGAUUAAUGCAACAAUGCAUUAAAAUGAAAACUCGCGGAAUGAAUAGUACAUAAUGGUACCUUGACAAAUGAAACAGUGCAUCAUGAAGAAGUCUUCGGGAAUGAAACAGUGCGCUACAAUGACUGCUUGACGAAUUCGUUGAACUACGUCCACUAUUCUCUAUAGUCACAAUCUAACACAUUGUGAGUUAGUUAUAUCAGUAACAACUGCAUAUAGUAGAAUAAUUAUUGGAACAUAUCAUUAAUACGUAUUGUCAGCAUACAUUUAAUGUACUAAUGGAAAUGAAAAUGGAAGAUAACAAAA
Molecule: long non-coding RNA, 1071 nt
Filed under: Mytilus galloprovincialis (Mediterranean mussel)
Lineage: Eukaryota; Metazoa; Mollusca; Bivalvia; Mytilida; Mytilidae
Source: RNAcentral